RNAcentral lists this ribosomal RNA (442 nucleotides) under uncultured bacterium. RNAcentral's name for it is "partial 16S ribosomal RNA". It matches the Rfam family "Bacterial small subunit ribosomal RNA", at positions 338 to 795 of the family's 1533-position model. The record is from RNAcentral.
CCUACGGGAGGCAGCAGUAGGGAAUCUUUCACAAUGGGCGAAAGCCUGAUGGAGCAACGCCGCGUGCAGGAUGAAGGCCUUCGGGUUGUAAACUGCUUUUAUAAGCGAGAAAUAUGAUGGUAACUUAUGAAUAAGGAUCGGCUAACUACGUGCCAGCAGCCGCGGUCAUACGUAGGAUCCGAGCAUUAUCCGGAGUGACUGGGUGUAAAGAGUUGCGUAGGUGGCAUAAUAAGUAGCUAGUGAAAUCUGGUGGCUCAACCAUUCAGACUAUUAGCUAAACUGUUAAGCUCGAGACCGUUAGGGGUAACUGGAAUUUCUAGUGUAGGAGUGAAAUCCGUAGAUAUCACGCAGAACUCCGAUUGCGAAGGCAGCAUACCGGCGCCCAACUGACGCUGAAGCACGAAAGCGUGGGUAUCGAACAGGAUUAGAUACCCCUGUAGUC